This 395-nucleotide ribosomal RNA is filed under the name uncultured bacterium. RNAcentral describes it as "partial 16S ribosomal RNA". It matches the Rfam family "Bacterial small subunit ribosomal RNA", at positions 523 to 918 of the family's 1533-position model. The record is from RNAcentral.
AUACGUAGGGUGCAAGCGUUAAUCGGAAUUACUGGGCGUAAAGCGUGCGCAGGCGGUUUUGUAAGACAGAGGUGAAAUCCCCGGGCUCAACCUGGGAACUGCCUUUGUGACUGCAAGGCUAGAGUACGGCAGAGGGGGAUGGAAUUCCGCGUGUAGCAGUGAAAUGCGUAGAUAUGCGGAGGAACACCGAUGGCGAAGGCAAUCCCCUGGGCCUGCACUGACGCUCAUGCGCGAAAGCGUGGGGAGCAAACAGGAUUAGAUACCCUGGUAGUCCACGCCCUAAACGAUGUCAACUGGUUGUUGGGGAUUUAUUUUCUCAGUAACGAAGCUAACGCGUGAAGUUGACCGCCUGGGGAGUACGGCCGCAAGGUUAAAACUCAAAUGAAUUGACGGGG